UAUAAGGGAUUUUGAGUUUUUUGCUUUCAACGUUUGACUACUCGUCUUAUUCAAAAAUUUUUAAAAUUAUUAUUUAUUUUAUUUGUGACUCACUUUAUUAUCUACAGUAUUUUAAGCACAACUUUUUGUUUUUUAUACUUGCAAAAAAAAAAUUAAAUAAGACGAGUGGUCAAACGUUGCAUGUAAAAACUCAAAAUCCCUUAUA
This 205-nucleotide microRNA precursor is filed under the name Oryza sativa Japonica Group (Japanese rice). RNAcentral's name for it is "MIR812 microRNA precursor family". It matches the Rfam family "MIR812 microRNA precursor family". The record is from Rfam by way of RNAcentral. Lineage: Eukaryota; Viridiplantae; Streptophyta; Magnoliopsida; Poales; Poaceae.